This 468-nucleotide ribosomal RNA is filed under the name Acanthamoeba sp. Its description in RNAcentral is "SSU rRNA". It matches the Rfam family "Eukaryotic small subunit ribosomal RNA", at positions 737 to 1097 of the family's 1831-position model. The record is from RNAcentral. Lineage: Eukaryota; Discosea; Longamoebia; Acanthamoebidae.
UGGGGCCCAGAUCGUUUACCGUGAAAAAAUUAGAGUGUUCAAAGCAGGCAGAUCCAAUUUUCUGCCACCGAAUACAUUAGCAUGGGAUAAUGGAAUAGGACCCUGUCCUCCUAUUUUCAGUUGGUUUUGGCAGCGCGAGGACUAGGGUAAUGAUUAAUAGGGAUAGUUGGGGGCAUUAAUAUUUAAUUGUCAGAGGUGAAAUUCUUGGAUUUAUGAAAGAUUAACUUCUGCGAAAGCAUCUGCCAAGGAUGUUUUCAUUAAUCAAGAACGAAAGUUAGGGGAUCGAAGACGAUCAGAUACCGUCGUAGUCUUAACCAUAAACGAUGCCGACCAGCGAUUAGGAGACGUUGAAUACAAAACACCACCAUCGGUGCGGUCGUCCUUGGCGGUUGGUCUUCAAAAGCCAGCGGCGGGGGUGGCUUAGCCCGGUGGCACCGGUGAAUGACUCCCCUAGCAGCUUGUGAGAAA